GAUGAACGCUGGCGGCGUGCCUAACACAUGCAAGUCGAACGGACAGGCCCUGCUUUUGUGCCGUGCUCGAGUGGCGAACGGGUGAGUAACACGUGAGUAACCUGCCCUUGACUUUGGGAUAACUUCAGGAAACUGGGGCUAUUACCCGAUAGGAGCUCCUGCUGCAUGUUGGUGGUUGGAAAGUUUCGGCGGUUGGGGAUGGACUCGCGGCUUAUCGGCUUGGUGGUGGGGUAGUGGCUUACCAAGGCUUUGACGGGUAGCCGGCCUGGGAGGGGGGCCGGGGGCAAGGGGACUGAGGGACGGCCCAGACGCGUACGGGACGCAGCAGGGGGGAGUAUUACACAGUGGGCGGAAGCCAGAUACAGCGACGCCGCGUGCGGGAUAACGGCCUUCGGGUUGUAAACCGCUUUGGCCUGUGACGAAGAGUGAGUGACGGUAAUGGGUAAAGAAGCACCGGCUAACUACGUG
Molecule: ribosomal RNA, 468 nt
Filed under: uncultured bacterium
Lineage: Bacteria
Description: partial 16S ribosomal RNA
Rfam family: Bacterial small subunit ribosomal RNA
Source: RNAcentral